Molecule: long non-coding RNA, 287 nt
Organism: Melanotaenia boesemani (Boeseman's rainbowfish)
Lineage: Eukaryota; Metazoa; Chordata; Actinopteri; Atheriniformes; Melanotaeniidae
Exons: 2
Source: RefSeq, a predicted model, not a curated record
AAUGACACUCCAGGACAUUGUGCACAAUACUGCAGUUACACUGCAAUGGAGAAUGAUACACGGGAGAUCAUCAGUGUUGUAACUGUAGAUAAGAGACAGACUGACAGAAGAUCAACUGUUAUGGAAAAGGAGGCCUUCAUCCGAACAGUUGAUCAGCUUAUGGCUGAGGUGAAGCUGGUGGAAAUCUGUACAGAUGCCCACUCACAGAUUAGUGCUGUCAUGGAUCCUGAAAAGGGGAGGUAUAAGGGACAAGGAAUAAAUCACAGUCUUGACAUGUGGCAUGGAGC